Molecule: ribosomal RNA, 301 nt
Filed under: uncultured bacterium
Lineage: Bacteria
Description: partial 16S ribosomal RNA
Rfam family: Bacterial small subunit ribosomal RNA
Source: RNAcentral
CAGUCGCCACGGUAAUACGGAGGGUGCAAGCGUUAAUCGGAAUUACUGGGCGUAAAGCGCACGCAGGCGGUCUGUCAAGUCAGAUGUGAAAUCCCCGGGCUUAACCUGGGAACUGCAUUUGAAACUGGCAAGCUAGAGUAUGGGAGAGGAUGGUAGAAUUCCAGGUGUAGCGGUGAAAUGCGUAGAGAUCUGGAGGAAUACCGAUGGCGAAGGCAGCCAUCUGGCCUAAUACUGACGCUGAGGUACGAAAGCAUGGGGAGCAAACAGGAUUAGAUACCCCUGUAGUCCCUGUCUCUUAUAC